Molecule: ribosomal RNA, 253 nt
Filed under: uncultured bacterium
Lineage: Bacteria
Description: partial 16S ribosomal RNA
Rfam family: Bacterial small subunit ribosomal RNA
Source: RNAcentral
UACAGGGGGUGCAAACGUUGCUCGGAAUUAUUGGGCGUAAAGCGCGCGUAGGCGGCUACCUAAGUCGGAUGUGAAAGCCCCUGGCUCAACUGGGGAAGUGCACCCGAAACUGAGUAGCUAGAGUGCAAAAGAGGGUCGCGGAAUUCCCGGUGUAGAGGUGAAAUUCGUAGAUAUCGGGAGGAACACCGGUGGCGAAGGCGGCGACCUGGACCGGUACUGACGCUGAUGCGCGAAAGCGUGGGGAGCAAACGGG